Molecule: ribosomal RNA, 715 nt
Filed under: uncultured organism
Description: bacterial SSU rRNA
Rfam family: Bacterial small subunit ribosomal RNA
Source: RNAcentral
UUGAUCCUGGCUCAGAACGAACGCUGGCGGCGUGCCUAACACAUGCAAGUCGAGCGAUCCUUCGGGAUAGCGGGGGACGGGUGAGUAACGCGUGGGAACGUGCCCGAUGGUGCGGGAUAGCCUCUGGGAAACGGAGAUUAAUACCGCGAUAUACCCUACGGGGGUAAAGAUUCAUCGGCAUCGGAUCGGGCCGCGGUUGUAUUAAGUAGUUGGUGGAGUAACGGGCUCACAAGGCGACGAUCCAUAGCUGGUUCGAGAGGAUGAUCAGCCACACUGGGACUGAGACACGGCCCAGACUCCUACGGGAGGCAGCAGUGGGGAAUCAUAGACAAUGGGGGAAACCCUGAUCUUGCCAUGACGCGUUAGCGAUGAAGGCCCCUAGGUUGUAAAGCUCUUUCGCCAGGGAAGAUAAUGACGGUAGCUGCGUAAAGAAUCCCCGGCUAACUCCUUGCCAGCAGCCGCGGUAAUACGGAGGGGGUUAGCGUUGUUCUGAAUUACUGUGGCGUAAAGCGCACUUAGGCGGACUGGAGAGUUGGGGGUGAAAUCCCAGGGGCUCAUCCCUUGGAACUGCCUUCGUGGCUGUCAGUUCUGGAGUCCUAGAGAGGUGAUUGGAGGUCCGACUGUAGACGUGAUGUUCGUAGUUGUUCGCGAAGAACACCAUUGGCGACGGCGGCUCACUGGCUCGGUGCUGCCGCUGAGGUGCGAACGUGUGGGG